GUUUUUUUAGAAAUAAAUUUAAUUUACAAGUUUUUAAUUUUUUGUUUAUUUAUUAAAUUUAAAAAAUUAUUAAUUUGAAUAUUUUAAGGGAUAAGCUUUAAAAUAAAUUAUUAAAAAUUAGUAAUUUUUAUAUAAAAUGUAUGAAUAUAAUUUUUAAUCAUUUAUAAGUUUGUUAUAAAUUAUUUUAUAAUUUAUAUUAUUUACUAUUAUUUUAAAUUUUUAUAAAAAUAUUUUCAUAAAUUUUUUAUGAAAAUUAAUAAUGAUAAAAUUAGUAUAUUUUAUAUGUAUAUAUAAUUUUAUUUGAUAAGUUUAUAUAAAGAACUCGGCAAAUUUAUAUACUCGCCUGUUUAACAAAAACAUGUCUUUUUGAGUUAUUUUUAAAGUCUAACCUGCCCACUGAAUAAUUUUAAAUGGCCGCAGUAUUUUAACUGUGCAAAGGUAGCAUAAUCAUUAGUCUUUUAAUUGAAGGCUGGUAUGAAUGGUUGGACGAAGUAUAAGCUGUUUCAUUUAAAUUUAUUAUAGAAUUUUAUAUUUUAGUUAAAAAGCUAAAAUUUAAUUAAAAGACGAGAAGACCCUAUAAAUCUUUAUAUUUAAUAUUAUUUUAAUUUUUUAGAUAUAUUUUAUUUUAAUAUUAUUAAAUAUUUUGUUGGGGUGAUGUUAAAAUUUAAUAAACUUUUAAUUGUAAAAAUCAUUAAUUUAUGAUUUAUUGAUCCUUUAAUAAAGAUUAUAAGAUUAAGUUACUUUAGGGAUAACAGCGUAAUUUUUUUGGAGAGUUCUUAUUGAUAAAAAAGUUUGCGACCUCGAUGUUGGAUUAAGAUAUAUUUUUAGGUGUAGUAGCUUAAAUAUU
This 847-nucleotide ribosomal RNA is filed under the name Rhagoletis tabellaria. RNAcentral's name for it is "partial 16S ribosomal RNA". Lineage: Eukaryota; Metazoa; Arthropoda; Insecta; Diptera; Tephritidae. The record is from RNAcentral.